This 447-nucleotide ribosomal RNA is filed under the name uncultured bacterium. RNAcentral describes it as "bacterial SSU rRNA". It matches the Rfam family "Bacterial small subunit ribosomal RNA", at positions 330 to 793 of the family's 1533-position model. The record is from RNAcentral.
GCCAGACUCCUACGGGAGGCAGCAGUGGGGGAUAUUGCACAAUGGGGGGAACCCUGAUGCAGCGACGCCGCGUGGGUGAAGGAGCGUUUCGGCGCGUAAAGCCCUAUCGGCAGGGAAGAAGGAGGACGGUACCUGACUAAGAAGCCCCGGCUAACUACGUGCCGGCAGCCGCGGUAAUACGUAGGGGGCAAGCGUUAUCCGGAUUUACUGGGUGUAAAGGGGGCGCAGACGGCAGCGCAAGCCAGGAGUGAAAGCCCGGGGCCCAACCCCGGGACUGCUCUUGGAACUGCGCGGCUGGAGUGCAGGAGGGGCAGGCGGAAUUCCUGGUGUAGCGGUGAAAUGCGUAGAUAUCAGGAGGAACACCGGUGGCGAAGGCGGCCUGCUGGACUGCGACUGACGUUGAGGCCCGAAAGCGUGGGGAGCAAACAGGAUUAGAUACCCUCGUAU